GUGCGGUGGUUGUGCGCGUCGGCGGGGUAUGUUGGUGCGCUGCUGCGGCUGAGAGAUUUCGGCCACGUAACGAGUCUCUUGUCUCAAAUCAGAGGUGUGCCACCACAGGUGUUCAGCCGUCGAAGAGUGGCAGCAGCUCACAAAAGCACUUGGUUCUGCCCGACUUGGCUGAGGAGUUGGUGCCUUGUGAGAGGGGCUGCUACGAACGACGUUGUGCUGGCCUGGGGUGUAGUUGUAGUGUUUUCACGUUUACCAUAACGUUCUCUCCAGUCCUGGUCAGCCGUCUUAAGAGAUCGUAAGGGACCUUGCCCGGGCACCAGGGAGCUCCAGAUGGCCUUUGGAGUCCACUGCAUGAGAACUGUAUGGAGAUGAAUGCUGUAGGAUGCCCAGAAGCUCUGACGACUAAUGCGUAAUGCAGCUGGCUGCUGCAGGAAGUGGCAUAGCAGUAUUUCAUUUAGCUAUGUUUGUCAUUCUGCCUGCUGUUCAGCUGCUGAUGUUCACAGAACUUAAAAAAAACCGUGAUUUUUUGCAACUAGGCUUCCUCCUUCCACACUCUUGCCAAAUGCCUCAAUUCCUUAGAAAAUUGGUAGCAGGAACUUAUUAAUCUCCAACACUAUUUAUUUUUACUCUGCUCUCUGUAAUUGUGCAACACAGGAAAGGCAACAAAAUUGUUUUAUACGGCUCUAUUUAUUUAUUUGAAAGGUUUUGCAAUUGUGCUUUGUUGUGUCCAGUUGCAGACUUGAAGUUAUUUUCUGUUUAAUUUUUGUGGUAUUAUAGAAAUGGCAGUUAUUUCCCUUUCCCAAUGCUGGAGAGUGGAGAAGAAAAUACAAGGACAUUAUUUUCAUAGCAAAGAGAGAUUUUGAGAACGACUAGGCACAGAGAUUAAAAUGCACAGAGAGUCAGUGUUUGAAUGACUAAAACAUUUGUUCUGCUCGCUGCCUGUUCAGUUCCUUUAUAAUCAUUAACUGUAAAGACUGUGUUAUACAGUAUCUGAGAAGAAAAAUCAUGGGCAAAGGCUAAAACUGUAGUCACAUAGAUAUGAAUGUCUGCUUCUGACAGGGGAAAAGAGAAAUCCUCCAAAUAUGUUCAUGAUAUCAACCAUUAUACAGUAUGUGUUGUAUGUCACUGUUUCUAGUGGAUGGUAUGAAAGAAAAGAAUCUGUGGCAAUGUGUAAUCACCUUACAUAUAGACACACCUUGGACAAAGAGCAUAUCUCAAGACAACUCUUACAUGCUACUGUCCAUCAAGGAAGAACAGUGGAAAGACUGGACAAUAUUUGAAACGUGACAAUUAAAAGGAUUAUCUGUACAACA
Catharus ustulatus (Swainson's thrush) is the source of this 1313-nucleotide long non-coding RNA. RefSeq lists it as uncharacterized. The record is from RefSeq and is a predicted model, not a curated record. The transcript is spliced from 2 exons. Lineage: Eukaryota; Metazoa; Chordata; Aves; Passeriformes; Turdidae.